CAGGGGUUUGCUGAGGUGCGCUGAGAACCACAAGCGAUGAUGAAGUGAUGAAGCCUUUUGGAGCACAACUGACACCGACUGGGAAUCCCGAUCGGUGAAGCCGUUUGUUUAGUGGGAGCGGAGCGUUGUGUCGAGACAUUCACACUCCUCACUCGUCCAAACUUGGAGGCGCAGAUCGUUGCACUAAGUACACCCGCACCUUCAGAAUUAUUUUCCGACUUGUUGAGACGUAUCAGACCAAAAGUAAAUUUACAAACCUCACCUGUGCUCGUCUCCAUCCUUCAUCAUGUGCAAAACAGCGUUAUUUUGCCAUCUAAACGGUUGUUUUAUAUUGUCAGUUGAAAAAACCAGCAAUGAAGUAUUUCACCGGGAUUUGCAGUUUUUCUUGCUCCUAGAAGCGUAAAAUGAAGAAGCUUCCCAAACACACGGGAAGACACACACACCUCACUCCUCGACUUGCACUUAAAGUUAAUCUUUUAUUUAAUGGAACAGUUUGGAUCUGAAAAUGUCAUUUUAUUGGACUAUUUUAAAUGUGCAAGUGAAGACCGACCAG
Molecule: long non-coding RNA, 553 nt
Organism: Gasterosteus aculeatus aculeatus (three-spined stickleback)
Lineage: Eukaryota; Metazoa; Chordata; Actinopteri; Perciformes; Gasterosteidae
Source: Ensembl